This 292-nucleotide ribosomal RNA is filed under the name uncultured bacterium. Its description in RNAcentral is "partial 16S ribosomal RNA". It matches the Rfam family "Bacterial small subunit ribosomal RNA", at positions 505 to 796 of the family's 1533-position model. The record is from RNAcentral.
GUGUCAGCCGCCGCGGUAAUACGGAGGAUGCAAGCGUUAUCCGGAAUGAUUGGGCGUAAAGCGUCCGCAGGUGGCAGUGUAAGUCUGCUGUUAAAGAGCAAAGCUUAACUUUGUAAAAGCAGUGGAAACUACACAGCUAGAGUACGGUCGGGGCAGAGGGAAUUCCUGGUGUAGCGGUGAAAUGCGUAGAGAUCAGGAAGAACACCGGUGGCGAAGGCGCUCUGCUAGGCCUGUACUGACACUGAGGGACGAAAGCUAGGGGAGCGAAUGGGAUUAGAAACCCCUGUAGUCC